Molecule: ribosomal RNA, 429 nt
Filed under: bacterium
Lineage: Bacteria
Description: partial 16S ribosomal RNA
Rfam family: Bacterial small subunit ribosomal RNA
Source: RNAcentral
UAGGGAAUCUUCGGCAAUGGGGGCAACCCUGACCGAGCAACGCCGCGUGAGUGAAGAAGGUUUUCGGAUCGUAAAGCUCUGUUGUAAGAGAAGAACGUGUGUGAGAGUGGAAAGUUCACACAGUGACGGUAACUUACCAGAAAGGGACGGCUAACUACGUGCCAGCAGCCGCGGUAAUACGUAGGUCCCGAGCGUCGUCCGGAUUUAUUGGGCGUAAAGCGAGCGCAGGCGGUUUAAUAAGUCUGAAGUUAAAGGCAGUGGCUUAACCAUUGUUCGCUUUAGAAACUGUUAAACUUGAGUGCAGAAGGGGAGAGUGGAAUUCCAUGUGUAGCGGUGAAAUGCGUAGAUAUAUGGAGGAACACCGGUGGCGAAAGCGGCUCUCUGGUCUGUAACUGACGCUGAGGCUCGAAAGCGUGGGGAGCAAACAGG